AUUGAACGCUGGCGGCAGGCCUAACACAUGCAAGUCGAGCGGAUGAAGGGAGCUUGCUCCUGGAUUCAGCGGCGGACGGGUGAGUAAUGCCUAGGAAUCUGCCUGGUAGUGGGGGAUAACGUCCGGAAACGGGCGCUAAUACCGCAUACGUCCUGAGGGAGAAAGUGGGGGAUCUUCGGACCUCACGCUAUCAGAUGAGCCUAGGUCGGAUUAGCUAGUUGGUGGGGUAAAGGCCUACCAAGGCGACGAUCCGUAACUGGUCUGAGAGGAUGAUCAGUCACACUGGAACUGAGACACGGUCCAGACUCCUACGGGAGGCAGCAGUGGGGAAUCUUGGACACUGGGCGCAAGCCUGCUCCCGCCCUGCCGCGUGUGUGAAGAAGGUCUUCGGAUUGUAAAGCACUUUAAGUUGGGAGGAAGGGCAGUAAGUUAAUACCUUGCUGUUUUGACGUUACCCACCGAAUCAGCACCGGCUCACUUCGUG
Molecule: ribosomal RNA, 484 nt
Filed under: uncultured bacterium
Lineage: Bacteria
Description: partial 16S ribosomal RNA
Rfam family: Bacterial small subunit ribosomal RNA
Source: RNAcentral